Molecule: long non-coding RNA, 260 nt
Filed under: Physcomitrium patens
Lineage: Eukaryota; Viridiplantae; Streptophyta; Bryopsida; Funariales; Funariaceae
Description: long non-coding RNA (PPAT_LNC014929)
Source: RNAcentral
AAUUAUCAAACUACAAAAUACCAAGGCUUACUACUUCUGUCUUAAUUCAACCCAUAAUCUAUUCUACGACUAUUAAUUCAACAAUACUUCCAUAUUUUUAUCCGUUCCUCUCCCACUUACUCUCUUUGUGGUUUAUAUAUAUUCAAUUACUGAUCUCCAGCUUACCUAUUGUAUUCAAUUUCUCAAUUCAUCACACAGAAUUCAAUAUCUUCGCUUAUGACUCUCACAGUUUGGCACUCCACACUAACUUUUCAAUAUUC